UGAGUAAAUCAGAUGGUCGCGGGGGCAUUUAUUGCCAACGAGGAAAGUCCGAGCUCCAUAGGGCAGGGUGCUGGGUAAUACCCAGUGGAGGUGACUCCAAGGAAAGUGCAACAGAGAGAUACCGCCACUAGAGGUUAGAGGUCAGAGAUCAGAAGCCAGAUUUAAGGGAAAAGCUUUAAAGAAAUCGUUCAUUUCAGGCUACUGCUUUCCGACUUCUAACUUCUAGUAGGUAAGGGUGGAAAGGUGAGGUAAGAGCUCACCAGCAGCUAGGUGACUAGCUGGCUAUGUAAACCCCACCUGGAGCAAGACCAAGUAGGGACAAAAAAGCGGCUGCCCGUCGUGUCCCGUGGUAGGUUGCUUGAGCCGUCUGGCAACAGCCGGCCUAGACAGAUGACCGUCAAAUACAGAACUCGGCUUAUAGAUUUGCUCGCUAU
RNAcentral lists this RNase P RNA (434 nucleotides) under Alkaliphilus serpentinus. RNAcentral describes it as "Bacterial RNase P class A". It matches the Rfam family "Bacterial RNase P class A". From Rfam's summary of the family: Ribonuclease P (RNase P) is a ubiquitous endoribonuclease, found in archaea, bacteria and eukarya as well as chloroplasts and mitochondria. Its best characterised activity is the generation of mature 5'-ends of tRNAs by cleaving the 5'-leader elements of precursor-tRNAs. Cellular RNase Ps are ribonucleoproteins. The record is from Rfam by way of RNAcentral. Lineage: Bacteria; Bacillati; Bacillota; Clostridia; Peptostreptococcales; Natronincolaceae.